GGGCCAUAGCUCAGUGGUUGAGCAUCUGCUUUGCACAUAGAAAGUCUUAGGUUCAAUCCCUGGCAACUCCU
Podarcis lilfordi (Lilford's wall lizard) is the source of this 71-nucleotide non-coding RNA. Lineage: Eukaryota; Metazoa; Chordata; Lepidosauria; Squamata; Lacertidae. The record is from the annotation of a GenBank genome assembly.